AUUGAACGCUGGCGGCAUGCCUUACACAUGCAAGUCGAACGGCAGCACGGGGGCAACCCUGGUGGCGAGUGGCGAACGGGUGAGUAAUACAUCGGAACGUGUCCUGUCGUGGGGGAUAACCAGUCGAAAGACUGGCUAAUACCGCAUGAGAUCGAGAGAUGAAAGCAGGGGACCGCAAGGCCUUGCGCGAUUGGAGCGGCCGAUGUCGGAUUAGCUAGUUGGCGGGGUAAAAGCCCACCAAGGCGACGAUCCGUAGCUGGUUUGAGAGAACGACCAGCCACACUGGGACUGAGACACGGCCCAGACUCCUACGGGAGGCAGCAGUGGGGAAUUUUGGACAAUGGGGGGCAACCCUGAUCCAGCCAUGCCGCGUGUGUGAAGAAGGCCUUCGGGUUGUUAAAGGACACUUCGGUACGG
RNAcentral lists this ribosomal RNA (417 nucleotides) under uncultured bacterium. RNAcentral's name for it is "bacterial SSU rRNA". It matches the Rfam family "Bacterial small subunit ribosomal RNA", at positions 29 to 443 of the family's 1533-position model. The record is from RNAcentral.